RNAcentral lists this long non-coding RNA (408 nucleotides) under Ananas comosus (pineapple). Its description in RNAcentral is "long non-coding RNA (ACOM_LNC004905)". Lineage: Eukaryota; Viridiplantae; Streptophyta; Magnoliopsida; Poales; Bromeliaceae. The record is from RNAcentral.
UCCCACAACACGUCCAACUUCUCACACCUUCCAAAGAGACUCGGAUGUUUGAAUAGAGAGCCUAAGAGUAAGACAUUUCCUAAUAAAAAAUCCGCACAUACCAAGUAAAAUUUUAGUUAAAAACUUACGGAAGUAACGUAAAUUUGCAUCAUUUCGCAGUCGAACCGUUCAAUUCUGACAUUUUGCGCCCUGAGGAAUUAUUUCUCGCACCCGGUGCAUCGACACAUCUGGGCACGCCAGUUACUUAUCGGACGAUGGAUAAUGAAUUGGGCAUUGAUGCACGGAUGCACUGGGCGCAAGCGGCAAUGUGAGACCCCAGAUAGUCCUAUAUAUAAGAUAAAAUAGGGCUAAACUCUUAACCCGGCUUAAGCAUUUUGGGUGGUGGCAAGGCCCAAGAGGUUAAGAGAG